This 874-nucleotide unclassified non-coding RNA is filed under the name Hevea brasiliensis (rubber tree). The record is from RNAcentral. Lineage: Eukaryota; Viridiplantae; Streptophyta; Magnoliopsida; Malpighiales; Euphorbiaceae.
CAACACUCAAAAAUUAAAGCCCUCACCGGCCACAACCUCCAGCCCCUCUCUUCUCUGUUCACUAACAGCGUCUCAGCGACAGUGGCGCAGUGCGAACGGAGCAGCAAGACUCUCGUCCGACGUUUCUCAGUCUCUCAGCGGGAAGACUGAUUCCUUGCAAUUUUCUUAAUCAGUUUGAAGUUUUGAUUCUCCUGUUGGAACUGAAGUGAAGUUUUAUGACCCACGGAAGGGUUUGUGGAAGAAGAUCAAUUUUUCUUUUCAAUGGAUCCCAAAUAUGCAGGAGAAACUUUGAAGCAUCUAGAGAAAGAAAGUGAACUACUCUUGAAUGCCCAUAAAGCAAUGUCAGAUGAAUUGCACAGGCUUCAGGUUGAGGAAGAAAUGAUGAUGCGCAAGUUACAUGAACUUAUUUCAGCUCACAAUCUAAGUAAAAAGAAAGGCUUAAAUGAUAAUGCUGAGAAAAGGCAGAAUGACCAGGAAGGAGCACCGGUCGACAUGACUAAUGGUGCUGAUGAAAGGCAGAAUGACCUGGAAGGAGCUGCCAUUGACAUGACUAAAGGUGAUCACUAAUGUAUAAGUGAGAUAGAUAUCCGAUCCCUAGGCUAUCUGUAUCCAUUGUUAGCCUUACACUUUAAGUAUGCCAUUUUUGGUCUCACAUUGCCGAUGCUUUUAGAUUGCUUCUCACAUAGAUCUCUCAGCUACGUAGAAAGUGAUACAUAUGUCUUGAUAGUAUAGAUGAUGCAAGCUGUUUCUCAUGUCUGUCCAGAUUUAUUCUUGCUUAGUAAUUUAAUCAACAGAGCUAUAUUGCAACAUCCAGUCCUGCAUCUGACACAAGGGAUGUUUGGGCAACCCUUCACUCCACGAACUUUUGUGGUUG